AGAGAGAGACAUGCGCGCAUAUCAAUAAGCGGAGGAAAAGAAACUAACAAGGAUUCCCUUAGUAACGGCGAGUGAAGCGGGAAGAGCUCAAAUUUGAAAUCUUCAAGGUUUUACCUUGACGAAUUGUAGUUUAAAGAAGUGUUUUCUGCUGAAGUUUUGGUAAAAGUUCUUUGGAAUAGGACAUCAUAGAGGGUGAGAAUCCCGUAUUUGACCAUUAUUUUCAGCUUUGUGAUACACUUUCAAAGAGUCGGAUUGUUUGGGAAUGCAGUCCAAAAUGGGUGGUAAAUUUCAUCUAAAGCUAAAUAUUGGCGAGAGACCGAUAGCGAACAAGUACCGUGAGGGAAAGAUGAAAAGAACUUUGAAAAGGGAGUUAAACAGUACGUGAAAUUGUCAAAAGGGAAGCGUUUGACACCAGUGUUGUUUUCCUCGAAAAUCAAUUAAAAAUGGCUCGAUUUUGUAUUGUUGAGACCUUAAAAGCUCACUGUACAUUUUUCGUGUCUUUUUUAAUGCACUUUUCGUUUAACAAGUCAACAUCAGUUUCUUUUGUUGUAAAAGGGUCAUUGGAAGGUGGCUUUCUUUUCGGAGAAAGUGUUUAUAGCCUUUGGCCUCUGCAAUCGGAGAGACUGAGGUCUGCAGCGUAGACUCUUCGGGGUUAGAUACAUUUGUGCUAAGUUAUAGCUUUUUAUAGACAACUUGUUGACUAUAAUUAGUCUUGUAGCUUACUCGCUUAUGCUAUUUUACCUACGCUUAGGAUGUUGAAGAUGUAGCACAUCAU
This 775-nucleotide ribosomal RNA is filed under the name uncultured Neocallimastigales. RNAcentral's name for it is "partial large subunit ribosomal RNA". It matches the Rfam family "Eukaryotic large subunit ribosomal RNA", at positions 23 to 634 of the family's 3401-position model. Lineage: Eukaryota; Fungi; Neocallimastigomycota; Neocallimastigomycetes; Neocallimastigales. The record is from RNAcentral.